GUCAUACUACGGCGCAUCAAGGGAUAAAGUAAACGAUGACCCUGGUGGAACUCUGGGGUAAAAUGCGUAUCAAAAUGCAAAAACGCGUCUGGCCUGGAAGGAAUGUUCCGGGCAAGGCUAUUUU
Molecule: regulatory RNA element, 124 nt
Organism: Dickeya dadantii 3937
Lineage: Bacteria; Pseudomonadati; Pseudomonadota; Gammaproteobacteria; Enterobacterales; Pectobacteriaceae
Rfam family: Enterobacteria greA leader
Source: Rfam